GAAUGCUGACAUAAGUAACGAUAAAGCGGGUGAAAAGCCCGCUCGCCGGAAGACCAAGGGUUCCUGUCCAACGUUAAUCGGGGCAGGGUGAGUCGACCCCUAAGGCGAGGCCGAAAGGCGUAGUCGAUGGGAAACGGGUUAAUAUUCCCGUACUUGGUGUUACUGCGAAGGGGGGACGGAGAAGGCUAUGUUGGCCGGGCGACGGUUGUCCCGGUUUAAGCGUGUAGGUGUGUGUUCCAGGUAAAUCCGGUUCACUUUAACACUGAGGCGUGACGACGAGGCACUACGGUGCUGAAGCAACAAAUGCCCUGCUUCCAGGAAAAGCCUCUAAGCAUCAGGUAACAUCAAAUCGUACCCCAAACCGACACAGGUGGUCAGGUAGAGAAUACCAAGGCGCUUGAGAGAACUCGGGUGAAGGAACUAGGCAAAAUGGUGCCGUAACUUCGGGAGAAGGCACGCUGACACGUAGGUGAAGUGAUUUACUCAUGGAGCUGAAGUCAGUCGAAGAUACCAGCUGGCUGCAACUGUUUAUUAAAAACACAGCACUGUGCAAACACGAAAGUGGACGUAUACGGUGUGACGCCUGCCCGGUGCCGGAAGGUUAAUUGAUGGGGUCAGCGCAAGCGAAGCUCCUGAUCGAAGCCCCGGUAAACGGCGGCCGUAACUAUAACGGUCCUAAGGUAGCGAAAUUCCUUGUCGGGUAAGUUCCGACCUGCACGAAUGGCGUAAUGAUGGCCAGGCUGUCUCCACCCGAGACUCAGUGAAAUUGAACUCGCUGUGAAGAUGCAGUGUACCCGCGGCAAGACGGAAAGACCCCGUGAACCUUUACUAUAGCUUGACACUGAACAUUGAGCCUUGAUGUGUAGGAUAGGUGGGAGGCUUUGAAGUGUGGACGCCAGUCUGCAUGGAGCCGACCUUGAAAUACCACCCUUUAAUGUUUGAUGUUCUAACGUGGACCCGUGAUCCGGGUUGCGGACAGUGUCUGGUGGGUAGUUUGACUGGGGCGGUCUCCUCCUAAAGAGUAACGGAGGAGCACGAAGGUUGGCUAAUCCUG
Molecule: ribosomal RNA, 1054 nt
Filed under: Salmonella enterica
Lineage: Bacteria; Pseudomonadati; Pseudomonadota; Gammaproteobacteria; Enterobacterales; Enterobacteriaceae
Description: partial 23S ribosomal RNA
Rfam family: Bacterial large subunit ribosomal RNA
Source: RNAcentral